CAGUAGCCACGGUAAUACAGAGGGUGCGAGCGUUAAUCGGAUUUACUGGGCGUAAAGCGUGCGUAGGCGGCUAAUUGAGUCGGAUGUGAAAUCCCUGAGCUUAACUUAGGAAUUUCAUUCGAUACUGGGAAGCUAGAGUAUGGGAGAGGAUGGUAGAAUUCCAGGUGUAGCGGUGAAAUGCGUAGAGAUCUGGAGGAAUACCGAUGGCGAAGGCAGCCAUCUGGCCUAAUACUGACGCUGAGGUACGAAAGCAUGGGGAGCAAACAGGAUUAGAUACCCCUGUAGUCCCUGUCUCUUAUAU
This 301-nucleotide ribosomal RNA is filed under the name uncultured bacterium. RNAcentral describes it as "partial 16S ribosomal RNA". It matches the Rfam family "Bacterial small subunit ribosomal RNA", at positions 509 to 809 of the family's 1533-position model. The record is from RNAcentral.